This 336-nucleotide unclassified non-coding RNA is filed under the name uncultured fungus. RNAcentral describes it as "sequence contains ITS1". The stretch from base 1 to 104 matches the Rfam family "5.8S ribosomal RNA", at positions 50 to 154 of the family's 154-position model. The record is from RNAcentral. Lineage: Eukaryota; Fungi.
GAAUCGCGAUAGGAAUUGCGAAUUGCAGAAUUCAGUGAAUCAUCGUAACUUUGAACGCAAACUGCGCUUGGGGGUUGACCCCGAGCAUGCCUCUUUGAGUGUCGGUCAAACCAUCCUGCUGGUUUUCCACAGGGUCGUGAGAGUCCUGACGGUCUCUGCAAGCACACGGGCUCCCGCAAGGGAAGCGCGUUGCAAGUGGCUCCGGACACGGCGCGUGGAGAUGAGAAUCAUCACAAGCAGUCCCCAGUCCCUGCAGCGAGCUCUAGGCCCUUCGUUCUCCGGAACACGCUCCUGACCAUCGACCUCAAAUGAGGUAGGAUUACCCGCUGAACUUAA